RNAcentral lists this ribosomal RNA (468 nucleotides) under uncultured bacterium. RNAcentral describes it as "partial 16S ribosomal RNA". It matches the Rfam family "Bacterial small subunit ribosomal RNA", at positions 28 to 507 of the family's 1533-position model. The record is from RNAcentral.
GACGAACGCUGGCGGCGUGCUUAACACAUGCAAGUCGAACGGAAAGGCCCUGCUUUUGUGGGGUGCUCGAGUGGCGAACGGGUGAGUAACACGUGAGUAACCUGCCCUUGACUUUGGGAUAACUUCAGGAAACUGGGGCUAAUACCGGAUAGGAGCUCCUGCUGCAUGGUGGGGGUUGGAAAGUUUCGGCCGUUGGGGAUGGACUCGCGGCUUAUCAGCUUGUUGGUGGGGUAGUGGCUUACCAAGGCUGUGACGGGUAGCCCGCCUGGGAGGGGAACCGGCCACAAUGGGACUGAGAGACGGACCAGACUGCAACGGGAGGCAACGGGCGGGAGUAUUACGCAGUAGGGGGAAGCGAGAUACAACAGCGCCGCGUGCGGAAUGACGGGCUUCGGGUUAUGAACCACUUUCGACGGUAACGAAGCGUGAGUGACGGUAAUGGGUAAGGAAGCACCGGCUAACUACGUG